This 77-nucleotide transfer RNA is filed under the name Pseudomonas sp. RNAcentral's name for it is "tRNA-Arg". It matches the Rfam family "tRNA". Rfam says of the family: Transfer RNA (tRNA) molecules are approximately 80 nucleotides in length. Their secondary structure includes four short double-helical elements and three loops (D, anti-codon, and T loops). Further hydrogen bonds mediate the characteristic L-shaped molecular structure. tRNAs have two regions of fundamental functional importance: the anti-codon, which is responsible for specific mRNA codon recognition, and the 3' end, to which the tRNAs corresponding amino acid is attached (by aminoacyl-tRNA synthetases). tRNAs cope with the degeneracy of the genetic code in two manners: having more than one tRNA (with a specific anti-codon) for a particular amino acid; and 'wobble' base-pairing, i.e. permitting non-standard base-pairing at the 3rd anti-codon position. The record is from RNAcentral. Lineage: Bacteria; Pseudomonadati; Pseudomonadota; Gammaproteobacteria; Pseudomonadales; Pseudomonadaceae. RNAcentral also lists the same sequence under 7 other names.
GCGCCCGUAGCUCAGUUGGAUAGAGUACCUGGCUACGAACCAGGUGGUCGGGAGUUCGAAUCUCUCCGGGCGCACCA